ACUCCUACGGGAGGCAGCAGUAGGGAAUCUUCCACAAUGGGCGCAAGCCUGAUGGAGCAACACCGCGUGAGUGAAGAAGGGUUUCGGCUCGUAAAGCUCUGUUGUUAAAGAAGAACACGUAUGAGAGUAACUGUUCAUACGUUGACGGUAUUUAACCAGAAAGUCACGGCUAACUACGUGCCAGCAGCCGCGGUAAUACGUAGGUGGCAAGCGUUAUCCGGAUUUAUUGGGCGUAAAGAGAGUGCAGGCGGUUUUCUAAGUCUGAUGUGAAAGCCUUCGGCUUAACCGGAGAAGUGCAUCGGAAACUGGAUAACUUGAGUGCAGAAGAAGGUAGUGGAACUCCAUGUGUAGCGGUGGAAUGCGUAGAUAUAUGGAAGAACACCAGUGGCGAAGGCGGCUACCUGGUCUGCAACUGACGCUGAGACUCGAAAGCAUGGGGUAGCGAACAGGAUUAGAUACCCUGGUAGGAUAGCG
This 474-nucleotide ribosomal RNA is filed under the name uncultured bacterium. Its description in RNAcentral is "bacterial SSU rRNA". It matches the Rfam family "Bacterial small subunit ribosomal RNA", at positions 335 to 801 of the family's 1533-position model. The record is from RNAcentral.